AGGAGAAUGAGGACCAGGCGGGAGCUGGAGCCCAAGAGCCCAAAGCCACCUGUCCCUCCUGCCCUGGACCCAAACAGCAAUGGCAGCCAGCAGCCUGCCGCUGUGACCUCCGACCCUGCCGAUGUCCCUGUGGAGACUCGGUGACCCUGCCUUGGUGCCAUCCCUGCCUGUGCAAAGAGCUCGUAUGACCUGAAAGUCCACUCUGCUGGCAGCUUCACCGAGUCCUUUCUGGUUGGGUAAACUGAGGCACGUUUCAUACAGCCCCUGCAGCUUGAAGCCUUCCUCACCUACAUUGUGCUCUGGCCAUCCCAGCUUUGUCCGUGUUCCUGCUGCCACUCAACCAAAGCUCUGAGGACAUUCUUUUGUUAUCUGAUGAGAAGCACUGUGCUGGGGAGACUGGUGUGAGUCUGGUUCUUGCCUCACAGGUGCUACAGCUCGACAGACAGACAGACAGACAGACAGACAGACAGACACCUGAGUCUUCUGGUCAGGGUCAGGAGUGUUAAUGAGAGAAUGUCACCCAAGGAGCCACUGGGAGCAUCUCAGCUUAAGGGCAUGUCCACAACUUCCUCAAUCCCAUAGCCAGGUGCAGGGAAACUAACUUGGGCUAACUAACCACAAAACCAACUUGGUAACAUCUAACUGUCCCAGUACUAGAUGGCUGGUCAGCGUUCUCCCCCUUGAACAAAGGGUACAAGAGGCUGGACUUGGUGGCACAUGCCUGCCAUCACGGUGCUCAGUGAAAGCAGGAACGCUGUGAUUACAAGACCAUCUUUGACCACAUUGCAAAGAUGUUUCUUUAAAAAAAAAUACAGAAUAAACACUAUUCUUCAAAACCUCUACUUCAUUAGUAGUUAGAAAGAAGAGGUACCCCGAGGAGCAGAGGCUAGCUCAAAGAUGAGAGGCAGAGGCUAGCUCAAGGAUGAGAAGCAGAGGCUAGCUCAAGGAUGAGGAGCAGAGGCUAGCUCAAGGAUGAGAGGCAGAGGCUAGCUCAAGGAUGAGAGGCAGAGGCUAGCUCAAGGAUGAGGAGCAGAGGCUAGCUCAAGGAUGAGGAGCAGAAGCUAGCUCAAAGAUGAGGAGCAGAGGCUAGCUGAAGGAUGAGAGGCAGAGGCUAGCUCAAGGAUGAAAGGCAGAGGCUAGCUGUACGAUAGGAAUUGCUCCAUUGCCCAUGGGCCUGGGCUGUGGUAACUGCUCAGGACCCUUUCUGCUGCCCCAGGUGGACUACCCUGACCCCUCAUUUUCUGGCUCCCUUUUAUUUGGAUGCUAAGCUUCCCUGGCAGUCCUCUUGCCUCUGGGGACAAGUAUUUGGAACCCAUUAAAUCUUGUAUUUCCUGCA
RNAcentral lists this long non-coding RNA (1336 nucleotides) under Rattus norvegicus (Norway rat). RNAcentral's name for it is "long non-coding RNA NONRATT023717". The record is from RNAcentral. Lineage: Eukaryota; Metazoa; Chordata; Mammalia; Rodentia; Muridae.